RNAcentral lists this ribosomal RNA (942 nucleotides) under uncultured organism. Its description in RNAcentral is "bacterial SSU rRNA". It matches the Rfam family "Bacterial small subunit ribosomal RNA", at positions 238 to 1177 of the family's 1533-position model. The record is from RNAcentral.
CUAUCAGCUUGUUGGUGAGGUAAUGGCUCACCAAGGGCAUGACGGGUAGCGGGACUGAGAGGUUUGGCCCGCAACAUCGGGACUGAGACGCUGCCCGGACCUCCACGGAGGGCUGCAGUAACGAAUAUUGCGCAAUGGGCGAAAGCCUGACGCAGCGACGCCGCGUGUAGGAGGAAGUCCCUCGGGAUGUAAACUACUGUCAGGGGACAGAAAGAGUACUUCGGUACUUUGAUCUAUCCCACAGGAAGUCACGGCUAACUUCGUGCCAGCAGCCGCGGUAAGACGAAGGUGGCGAGCGUUAUUCGGUGUCACUGGGCUUCAAGAGUAUGUAGGCGGAAAAUGAAAGCGUCUUGUGAAAUCCCUCGGCUUAACCGAGGAAUUGCAGAGCGAACUACAUUUCUUGAGGCAAGUAAGGGUGUACGGAACUCUAGGUGGAGCGGUGGAAUGCGUAGAUAUCUAGAGGAACGCCCGAUGGAGAAAUCAGUGCACUAGGCUUGUCCUGAACGCUGAGAUACGAAAGCGUGGGGAGCCAACAGGAUUAGAAUACCCUGGUAGUCCAGGCCGUAACCGAUGUCACACUAGAAUGGUGGUGUACUGCCGCAUCCACGAUCGAAGCAAAAGUGUUAAGUUGACCGCCUGGGGAGUACGGUCGCAAGGCUAAAACUCAAAGAAAUUGACGGGGGCUUCACACAAGCGGUGGAGCAUGUGGAUUAAUUGGAAGCAACGCGCAGAACCUUACCUGGGCUUGACAUGCUUGGAUGCCAUUAAAUAGAUUUUGGUGCCCUUCGGGGUGAAACUUGCACAGGUGCUGCAUGGCUGUCGUCAGCUCGUGUCGUGAGAUGUCGGGUUAAGUCCUUUAACGAGCGAACCCUGCCGUUAGUUACCAUCAGAUUAUGCUGGGCACUCUAACGGGACUGCCGGGUCAAACCGGAGGAAGGUGGG